AUUUGCAAUAUUUGUGGUAGGGAGCCUGAGGAUGCAUACCAUGGUAUUGUUCGCUGUACUAAAGCUAGAGCGUUCAGGGAAGCUAUGAGGGAAGUCUGGCCUUUGCCAAAAGAAGAAUGCUUUGCUCGUUCCGGACCCAAUUGGUUGCUGAUGUUACUCAGCCAAUGUGAUAACACCUCCAAAGAGAGAAUCUUGUUGUUGUUAUGGAGAGCCUGGUACUUACGUGAUGAUAUAGUGCAUCAUAAAGGUACUGCUUCCAUUGCCGAAUCUGUCGUCUUCUUGUCUAAUUAU
Molecule: ribosomal RNA, 291 nt
Filed under: Triticum aestivum (bread wheat)
Lineage: Eukaryota; Viridiplantae; Streptophyta; Magnoliopsida; Poales; Poaceae
Description: partial small subunit ribosomal RNA
Source: RNAcentral